Molecule: ribosomal RNA, 253 nt
Filed under: uncultured bacterium
Lineage: Bacteria
Description: partial 16S ribosomal RNA
Rfam family: Bacterial small subunit ribosomal RNA
Source: RNAcentral
UACAGAGGUCCCGAGCGUUGUUCGGAUUCACUGGGCGUAAAGGGUGCGUAGGUGGCGAGGAAAGUCGGAUGUGAAAGCUCGGAGCUCAACUCCGAAAUGGCAUUGGAAACUACCUUGCUCGAGGGUUGGAGGGGGGACUGGAAUUCUCGGUGUAGCAGUGAAAUGCGUAGAUAUCGAGAGGAACACCAGUGGCGAAGGCGAGUCCCUGGACAACUCCUGACACUGAGGCACGAAAGCUAGGGGAGCAAACAGG